AGGGUUAAUAACAGAUUAAAAAAAGCAUUUCCAUAGGCGCAAAAGGCUAUGGAGAGAAGAAAGUAAGAAAGAGUACACAGGGGAUGCCUUGGCUCUCAGAGGCGAUGAAGGACGUGAUAAGCUGCGAUAAGCUCCGGGGAUUAGCAAAUAUGAAUUAAUCCGGAGAUUUCCGAAUGGGGAAACCUGGCUAGUUGAAGACUAGUCGCAUUACGAUGCGCAAACCUGCCGAACUGAAACAUCUAAGUAAGCAGAGGAAGAGAAAAUAAUAAUGAUUUCCUAAGUAGUGGCGAGCGAACGGGAAAGAGCCCAAACCAGUUAUGUUACGGCAUAGCUGGGGUUGUAGGACUACAAUAUGGCAUUAAUGAAAUGAAGUGGAACAGGAUGGGAAGCCUGGCAAGAUAGCGUGAGAGCCGCGUACACGUAAGUAACAUUAGUCUAGUAGUAUCCUGAGUACCGCGAGGUCGGAGACGCCUUGUGGGAAUCUGCCGGCACCAUCCGGUAAGGCUAAAUACUCCUGAGAGACCGAUAGUGAACCAGUACCGUGAGGGAAAGGUGAAAAGAACCCCGAACAGGGGAGUGAAAUAGAACCUGAAACUGUGUACUUACAAGCGGUCGGAGCGUCCAGGUGGCGUGACGGCGUGCCUUUUGCAUAAUGAGCCUACGAGUUACUCUUCUCUGGCAAGGUUAAGUGUUUAAGACACGCAGCCGAAGCGAAAGCGAGUCUGAAUAGGGCGUAUAGUCAGGGGAGGUAGACGCGAAACCUUGUGAUCUACCCAUGGACAGGUUGAAGGUGCGGUAACACGUACUGGAGGACCGAACCGAUAAACGUUGAAAAGUUUCCGGAUGAUCUGUGGGUAGGGGUGAAAGGCUAAUCAAACUGGGAAAUAGCUCGUACUCCCCGAAAUGUUUUUAGGAACAGCGUGGUGGUAAAGUUUAAUAGAGGUAGAGCUACUGAUUGGGUGCGGGGGAGUCAAAUCCUACCAAAUCCAGACAAACUCCGAAUGCUAUUAAAUAUACACUGCAGUGAGGCCCGGGGUGCUAAGGUCACGGGCCGAGAGGGAAAGAACCCAGACCAUCAGCUAAGGUCCCCAAGUUACUACUAAGUUGAACUAACGAGGUGCGAUUGCCUAGACAGCUAGGAUGUUGGCUUGGAAGCAGCCAUUCAUUUAAAGAGUGCGUAACAGCUCACUAGUCGAGCGAUCGUGCAUGGAUAAUAAACGGGCAUAAAGUAGUACACCGAAGCUAUGGGUAAUAUU
This 1256-nucleotide ribosomal RNA is filed under the name Pedobacter cryoconitis. Its description in RNAcentral is "bacterial LSU rRNA". It matches the Rfam family "Bacterial large subunit ribosomal RNA", at positions 1 to 1213 of the family's 2925-position model. Lineage: Bacteria; Pseudomonadati; Bacteroidota; Sphingobacteriia; Sphingobacteriales; Sphingobacteriaceae. The record is from RNAcentral.